RNAcentral lists this ribosomal RNA (446 nucleotides) under uncultured bacterium. RNAcentral's name for it is "partial 16S ribosomal RNA". It matches the Rfam family "Bacterial small subunit ribosomal RNA", at positions 338 to 795 of the family's 1533-position model. The record is from RNAcentral.
CCUACGGGAAGCAGCAGUCGAGAAUCAUUCACAAUGGGGGAAACCCUGAUGGUGCGACGCCGCGUGGGGGAAUGAAGGUCUUCGGAUUGUAAACCCCUGUCAUGUGGGAGCAAAUUAAAAAGAUAGUACCACAAGAGGAAGAGACGGCUAACUCUGUGCCAGCAGCCGCGGUAAUACAGAGGUCUCAAGCGUUGUUCGGAAUCACUGGGCGUAAGGCGUGCGUAGGCUGUUUCGUAAGUCGUGUGUGAAAGGCGCGGGCUCAACCCGCGGACGGCACAUGAUACUGCGAGACUAGAGUAAUGGAGGGGGAACCGGAAUUCUCGGUGUAGCAGUGAAAUGCGUAGAUAUCGAGAGGAACACUCGUGGCGAAGGCGGGUUCCUGGACAUUAACUGACGCUGAGGCACGAAGGCCAGGGGAGCGAAAGGGAUUAGAUACCCUUGUAGUC